UUUCGCAAUGCCCGAAAGGGUGACGAAGCGACGCCGCGUGUGGGAAGAAGGCUUUUGGGUUGUAAACCACUGUCAGGAGUUAAGAAGUGUAGAGGCGUGAAUAGCGCCUCUAUUUGACGAAGGCUCCAGAGGAAGCCACGGCUAACUCUGUGCCAGCAGCCGCGGUAAUACAGAGGUGGCAAGCGUUGUUCGGAAUUAUUGGGCGUAAAGAGCACGUAGGCGGCCCUGCCAGUCAGUUGUGAAAUCCUUCCGCUCAACGGGAGAACUGCAGCUGAUACUACAGGGCUAGAGUACGGGAGGGGAGAGUGGAACUUCUGGUGGAGCGGUGAAAUGCGUAGAUAUCAGAAGGAACGCCGGCGGCGAAAGCGACUCUCUGGACCGAAACUGACGCUGAGUGUGCGAAAGCUAGGGGAGCAAACGGGAUUAGAUACCCCGGUAGUCCUAGCCGUAAACGAUGGGCACUAAGUAGAGGGGUUUUA
RNAcentral lists this ribosomal RNA (479 nucleotides) under uncultured bacterium. Its description in RNAcentral is "bacterial SSU rRNA". It matches the Rfam family "Bacterial small subunit ribosomal RNA", at positions 364 to 833 of the family's 1533-position model. The record is from RNAcentral.